Rattus norvegicus (Norway rat) is the source of this 360-nucleotide non-coding RNA. NCBI's taxonomy places the organism in Eukaryota, Metazoa, Chordata, Mammalia, Rodentia, Muridae. The record is from the annotation of a RefSeq genome assembly.
AUGGACUCUUCUCCAGGCUUCGUGGCUGUGAUACUUCUUCUACUCGGGGUGGCUGGCAAGACCCAAGUGGAGCAGAGUCCCCAGUCCCUGGUUGUCCAUGAAGGAGAGAGCUGUGUCCUUCAAUGCAAUUACACUGUGACUCCCUUCAACAACUUGAGGUGGUACAAACAAGACACAGGCAGAGGUCCUGUGUCCCUGACAGUCCUGACAAACAAGGAAGAGAAAACAUCAAGGGGAAGAUACUCGGCAACUCUGGAUGAAGGCGCUAAGCACAGCACCCUGCACAUCACAGCCUCCCUGCUGGAUGACGCUGCCACCUACAUCUGUGUGGUGGCCGCACCAUGCUCCCCAGAAACUUAG